GUAAUACUCCCUUCAUUCGAAAAAGCUUGUCAUCAAAAUGGAUAAAAGAGGAUGUAGCUAGAACUAAAAUACAUCUAGAUACAUCUCCUUUUAUUCAUUUUGAUGACAAGUAUUUCCGGACGGAGGGAGUAGAUG
Triticum urartu is the source of this 135-nucleotide non-coding RNA. NCBI's taxonomy places the organism in Eukaryota, Viridiplantae, Streptophyta, Magnoliopsida, Poales, Poaceae. The record is from Rfam.